RNAcentral lists this ribosomal RNA (369 nucleotides) under Triticum aestivum (bread wheat). RNAcentral's name for it is "partial small subunit ribosomal RNA". Lineage: Eukaryota; Viridiplantae; Streptophyta; Magnoliopsida; Poales; Poaceae. The record is from RNAcentral.
AUGCGGACGCGGAGGCGCGGGACUCGCAGGCCCUACUCUACCCCGCUCCUUCGAAUCUGCCCCAGAAGUGCUCGAGGAGGCGCUCGAGCUCGGCAUGCUCGCCGAAGACGCCGGGCCCUCCAUCCUCCUGAUGCCCUCGCCGUCGCCGCCAUGAACAUCUCCACCAUCUCCGGCGCAAUCGUCCGGGUCCAGAUUUCCCAAAGGAGAAGGAGGAGGUGCCGAAAGAGGAUGGGAGCAACAAGUCUGAAUCGAAGAGUAUGUUUUGUUGCGGAUCUUCUAUGGAAUCCUGUUGCUACUAACCAAACAUGCCUUCUCUUUAGUUCCUCUAUGGAAGUAGCAUCAAAUUGGGAUUUUGUUGAUGAUCUGUAA